RNAcentral lists this ribosomal RNA (244 nucleotides) under uncultured Staphylococcus sp. Its description in RNAcentral is "partial 16S ribosomal RNA". It matches the Rfam family "Bacterial small subunit ribosomal RNA", at positions 96 to 334 of the family's 1533-position model. The record is from RNAcentral. Lineage: Bacteria; Bacillati; Bacillota; Bacilli; Caryophanales; Staphylococcaceae.
CGGCGGACGGGUGAGUAACACGUGGAUAACCUACCUAUAAGACUGGGAUAACUUCGGGAAACCGGAGCUAAUACCGGAUAAUAUAUUGAACCGCAUGGUUCAAUAGUGAAAGACGGUUUUGCUGUCACUUAUAGAUGGAUCCGCGCCGCAUUAGCUAGUUGGUAAGUUAACGGCUUACCAAGGCAACGAUGCGUAGCCGACCUGAGAGGGUGAUCGGCCACACUGGAACUGAGACACGGUCCAG